AACGAACGCUGGCGGCAUGCCUAACACAUGCAAGUCGAACGAGACCUUCGGGUCUAGUGGCGCACGGGUGCGUAACGCGUGGGAACCUGCCCUUAGGUUCGGAAUAACUCCCCGAAAGGGGUGCUAAUACCGGAUAAUGUCUUCGGACCAAAGAUUUAUCGCCUUUGGAUGGGCCCGCGUUGGAUUAGCUAGUUGGUAGGGUAAAAGCCUACCAAGGCGACGAUCCAUAGCUGGUCUGAGAGGAUGAUCAGCCACACUGGGACUGAGACACGGCCCAGACUCCUACGGGAGGCAGCAGUGGGGAAUAUUGGACACUGGGCGAGAGCCUGAUCCAGCAAUGCCGCGUGAGUGAUGAAGGCCUUAGGGUUGUAAAUCUCUUUUACCCGGGAUGAUAAUGACGGUACCGGGAGAAUAAGCUCCGGCUAACUCCGUG
Molecule: ribosomal RNA, 433 nt
Filed under: uncultured bacterium
Lineage: Bacteria
Description: partial 16S ribosomal RNA
Rfam family: Bacterial small subunit ribosomal RNA
Source: RNAcentral